RNAcentral lists this transfer RNA (73 nucleotides) under uncultured Phycisphaerae bacterium. Its description in RNAcentral is "tRNA-Thr-TGT". It matches the Rfam family "tRNA". Rfam says of the family: Transfer RNA (tRNA) molecules are approximately 80 nucleotides in length. Lineage: Bacteria; Pseudomonadati; Planctomycetota; Phycisphaerae. The record is from RNAcentral.
GCCACCUUAGCUCAAUUGGCAGAGCACUGGUUUUGUAAACCAGCGGUUGCCGGUUCAACUCCGGCAGGUGGCU